GUGGGGGGGAAAUGCAAAAAGAGUUGGGCGCACGUCAGCCUUGCAGCCUGCCCUGGAGCGAGGGGAGGUGGGUCUGCAGGCUUUGCAUCCCACACAGAGAUCUCCGCUGCCAUCAUUAGACGGUGGUAGGUCAGGCGUAGGCCGGGGCCCACCGGAACGCUCCGGGUCUCAAUGUCCAAUGUCUAUCACAUGAAUGUCCUUGCUGCUGGAAGUUUGGUCUCUGGAUAACAUGGACCUAACCAGGAAGCUCAGACUCCACCUCAGAGGCGCUGAGUCAGAUCCUACGUUUCCUAAGAUUCCAGGUGACGCGCACGCACACCAGCGUUGGGCGGCUUUGGACUCGAUGCAUGAAUGUCAGUGUCAGUGUUAUAGCAACAACUCUGCUGGAAACUGUUUUUCUGUUGGAGGCAGAGGGUGACAAACUAAAAAGAGGCAUUUGAUAGUUGGAGAAAAGAAAAAACAAGCUACAUUAAGUUUCAAGGUAGGGGAUCACCUUUAAUCCAUUGCCACAAACAGAGUUAAACUGCAGUGGGAGAAAGGUGUGUUGUAAGGUAUUGGAGUGACUUCUGGAAAUGUUUUCUCUAAGAAGGCUUAUGUGAUGUUGUGUUUGCUUGUGGUUGACUGAUCUUGCAUGGCUCCUUGAAAGAAAAGGCUUUUUUUUUUUUUUAAGAAAAAGGGGGGAAAAAAGGAGGAGGGUGUUUAAAAUGGCUAAAUCAUGUAAAAUAUGAUUUAAAGUUAUCAACAUAAAGCAACCACACAACUAGCUGGAGAAGGGAAAACCUAGUCUUUCAGCUAGUAAUUUACGUACGCAAUGUUAAAACAGGAAUGACGGAUUUUUUUUUUUUUUUUUAAGCCUGCAUGGUGGAGCUGAUCUGGCAUGUAAAAAAGAGGCCAAAAGUUUUGGGACAGUGGAAUGUGCUGUCAGGCAAACUGGGAAAGAGGCAGGCCUGAGAUUAUUACUCCAUGGCCGUGGUUGAACUGGGGCCUUAUCUGAAAAAAGGAAAAAGGAUGAUUUGGACAACUGCUGGCAAGCCCUUUCCAGCCCAUGGACACAGUACAUAGACAAAGAAUGCUUUGGUGAUGAAAAUAAGCCACAUCUUAGUGAACUGAAUUAAGUUUUCAAUAUUGACUCCAAACAGUGCUUUUCAGCUCCCUUCCCCCGACAUGAACUUAAUCACUGAGUUAGGAUUUCAUGCCCUCUUUUUUUCUGUAGUUAAAAAUAUUCACCACGAAAUAUUAGCCUUAGGGAAGAACCCAUGUGGGACAUUUCUGAGUUUAGUUCCAAUGUAACUUGCUUUUUUUUUUUUUUCUUUUUGGUAGAUGAAUUUGUAGUGGUCUUCUGUUACAACAUGGGAACAAUAUUUCCCAACAUGUUAAACCAUUUUCUGCGCUGCCUCAUUUGAGCAAAAUUCAGUUUUCCAGUUUUCAGCAUUUACGCUUUCUCCUUCCUUUACAGGGGCAGAGUUUACAUUCAGUCUUUACUCCCAAGCCACCACAAGUUCUAUUAGAAACAUGUAUCUUAAACAAAAGAAAUAUAACAUGAACUAGGGGUUCUGACCUUUUUACAUGAAUCUUAUGAAAAAAAAACAUUUAAGAAAAAACCAUCUUCCUAUUUAA
Long non-coding RNA from Hipposideros armiger (great roundleaf bat), 1617 nucleotides. RefSeq lists it as uncharacterized. Lineage: Eukaryota; Metazoa; Chordata; Mammalia; Chiroptera; Hipposideridae. The transcript has 2 exons. The record is from RefSeq and is a predicted model, not a curated record.